UCUUUAAAUGUGGACUAGUAUGAACGGCUUCACGAAGGUUAUACUGUCUCCUUUUUCUAAUCAGUGAAACUAAUUUCCCCGUGAAGAAGCGGGGAUAAAGCUAUAAGACGAGAAGACCCUAUGGAGCUUAAAACGACACAGCACUUACCAAAAAUUUUUAAUGUUUCUGUAACACUAAUUCUUUAAAGUAAAAUGACUGCAAGUUUUCGGUUGGGGUGACCACGGAGUAUAUCAUAACCUCCAUGUUGAAAGAAUUUCUUUCUAAGCCAAGAAUAACCAAUCUAAGCAUUAAUAAAUUAACAUCUAUUGACCCAAUAAAUUUGAUCAACGAACCAAGUUACCCUAGGGAUAACAGCGCAAUCCACUUCAAGAGCUCCUAUCGACAAGUGGGUUUACGACCUCGAUGUUGGAUCAGGGUAUCCCAGUGGUGCAGCCGCUACUAAAGGUUCGUUUGUUCAACGAUUAAAACCCUACGUGA
This 478-nucleotide ribosomal RNA is filed under the name Rhinella granulosa (granular toad). RNAcentral's name for it is "partial large subunit ribosomal RNA". It matches the Rfam family "Bacterial large subunit ribosomal RNA", at positions 1973 to 2603 of the family's 2925-position model. Lineage: Eukaryota; Metazoa; Chordata; Amphibia; Anura; Bufonidae. The record is from RNAcentral.